Molecule: long non-coding RNA, 4779 nt
Filed under: Phocoena sinus (vaquita)
Lineage: Eukaryota; Metazoa; Chordata; Mammalia; Artiodactyla; Phocoenidae
Description: lncRNA (ENSPSNG00000004584.1)
Source: RNAcentral
GGCAGGCGGAUUCUUAACCCCUGCGCCACCAGGGAAGCUCCCACUUGUGCUUUUUUAAAUGGUUUGCCAAAUAAUCAUAAAUGAUUUAUUACCCUGCUUCAUAUUUUUAGUAAGUUUUCCAUACCGAAAUAUAAUGCAUGAGAUAAAUCAAUUUAAACCGAAUGAAUCAUAUUGGAAAAUGAUUUUGAAGAGGAGUUAUGUAGUCAUAGGAGAAAGAGCCAGUGCUCGAUCAUCUUAACCCUUAGUGGCAGGCAGUAGAGCCAAAUGAUGAGGGCGGUGAGUCGCCCUGUUACUGAGGGAUCAGCUGACCCUCUGCAAGUUCAGAGUCCCCUGAACAUUGUGUUCUGGCUAGUAAAUCAGACCUGCACAGUAGGCACUGCCCUGUGCCUUGAAAAGUGAGAAAAUACCACUGACUAUCAGCCAACUUGCUCCCCCUCACAAGACAGAGCCUUUUAAGGAGACAAAACCAGUAGUUGAGAUUGUGAAAGUUGACGGGCCACCUAGCACUAAAAUUAUUUUUUUGAGGUAUUGGGCAAGAUUCUUUAACAAAAAUCACAGUUUGUCUUUUGUUCUAACCUCAACCUAAUUUGGGUCAGAAGUUAUUAAAUUGUAGGAGGCUUUUGAGGGUAGAUGAGUGAAGCUAAGCACAAGUGAAACUGGUUUGAUUCUAGCUCUAUAGCAGUACGCAAUAAAGAAGCAUCCGCCGUAUGAGCCAGCCUCAAGCACGUACUGAAGGAUGCGUUCUGUGGGCCAGCUGCCGUGUCUGCACCCAAACUAAAGUGGCUCUGGUUGCUCGUUGUUUUGGUUUUUUUUUUUUUGCGGUACGCGGGCCUCUCACUGUUGUGGCCUCUCCGGUUGCGGAGCACAGGCUCCGGACGCUCAGGCUCAGCGGCCAUGGCUCCCGGGCCCAGCCGCUCCGCGGCAUGUGGGAUCCUCCCGGACUGGAGCACAAACCCGUGUCCCCUGCAUCGGCAGGCGGACUCUCAACCACUGCGCCACCAGGGAAGCCCUGCUCGUUUUGUUUUGAUAACUUUAUGAUUUAAAAUCAAAAGUUAAAAUCAACAACUUCCCAAAUAAGCCAAGAUAACACAAUAAGCCCAUAUAGGUAAAGUAGUUAAAGGAUGUUUUUCUGAGUUGGUUAUGUUGUUGAAAAGGUUAACUUUUCAUAAUUUGGUUUUUGGCUUGGAACUAUGACUGUUUGAGGCCACCAGUUGUAAACUGACUUGCUAAUAGCUUUGGGCUUUGAAAUUGAGUGAGUGUUGUAGGUUUCAGCAGUUUCUUAUAGACUGUGAUUGACCUGGUUAUAUAAUUUUUCAAGACAGCCUUGGAACUUCCCUGUACUGGAAUUCUUUUCUUCUCAGGUUCUACUGUCAAAAUGUGCUACAUACAGCUGUCAUAUCACCUUCUUAACAUGCAUCUUUUUUGACCCACCUCCAAUCCAACCUAUUCUUUCUCCGUUCAUCAUACUCACCAGGAUGUCUAGUUAUGCCUAUAAUACUUCACUUGGCAAAGUUCCUUUGCAUAUUUUAUUAAAGAGCAGUAAAAAUCCCACAUAUGUUCUUCAACUUCAGAUCAUACUGGUCAGUCUUUCUUUACCAUUUUUCCUCUCCUGUCAUUCGUUCACUUUGCUGCUAAAAUUUUAAACUUCGUUGUGUUUUUUCUUUAAAUCCAUUUUCCUGACCUCUCUCCUUGACUUCUAAGAACAUUUUACACUAAAAUACUCAUGCUCUUCAAAAUCUUACACAACCACGACCCAAACUACAUUACUAUUUUUGUCUUGAUUUUUGAGUUUAUUCCUUUUAAAAUGUAUUUGUUCAACAAAUACGAGUAUGUGCAAAGAACUUUUUUGGCUUCUUAUUCCCCAAGUUCUCAAAUAAAUUUGUUAUAUAUUUACUGUAGGUUCUGAGUGUUAUUUUCAAUUACAUCCAGCACUUAUAACUCUCCCUCAAGUACACCAUACUUGAUUCCUAAAGCUUCCAAAAUCUUGUUUUUUCUAGAAAUCUGAAUUUAGAUAGAAAUUUUCACAAAAACUAGAAGAUAGGAAGUUACUUUUCUGAUAGAACUCUUCUUUAUAGCCCUAGGAUGUUCUCAUUUAUUUUCUUAUACAUACUAUGGUUUCACUGUUUACUUCAAGUAUUUGCUCUGUAUUUUAUUUUGUUUGUAUCUUUAUUCAUAUCAGGGCAGAUUUAAAUUAUGAGUGUAAAUAUGGAACAUGUUUAUUUAGCCAAGCUGGCUCUAUAAUCAGAUGAGAUCACCUAAAGAAGAGUCUAAAGAGAGAACAGAGAGUGGUUUGGAGCUGAACUUUAUCCGUUCCUGAAGAUGCAGUCCUCAGAUCUCUCUAUCCUUCACCGUCCAAGCCAUUUUUCUCAGAGAUCUCACCCUUUUCUGUAACUACUUUUUUGCCCACGGCACCCAGAAAAUAUAAUUUUGACUCAAAUAGUUGUUAUUUUGCUUACUUAGCUACUUAGGAACUUAGCUAGUUCCUUACACAAGUACAGUUAAAUUUUAUACACAAAAAAAGAUUGAAAAUACCUACUGGAAUGUGAUACUCCUUGUAUAGUAGAUACAGGUUGAGUUUGCUAUUUGAGAACUCAUCCUAUGGAUGAAUAGACAAUAAGCUUGAUAGUUGCUAUACUUUGAAUUGGUUUAAAAUGAAAAAUAUUCCAUGGUUUAGAGAAUGUAAACUUCCAGGAGGGCAGGGAUUUAAUUUUUUUUUUUUUUUUUUUUUUUACUGCUACCUUCCCAGUGACUGCAACAGUACCUGGUGCACAGUGAGCACUCAAUAAAUAUUUGUUAAAUGAGUGAAUAUAGUCACCAUACUGGAUCGAUAUAGAAAAUUCCAAAGGCUGUCCUACUGUGGAAUUUAAAGUGUCUUUAAGUCACUUUAAUUGGUGUUAUUGCUACUUCCUCUAUUAACAGAGGAAUAGCCAAAUUUCCUCAAGUUUGGAAUAUAUGAUUUAAAAAAGAAUUCUAGGAUAGAACUUGGGGUUUUGGCUUUGGGGGAAGCUGUGCAGAUAUAAGUUUUUUAAAAUGCUGUAUUCUGACUUGUCCAGACAAGAGGGAAGACUCAUUUUUCCUGCUCCUUCCUGAUAAGUACAAUUACCAAUUCUGGAUAAGUAUGAUUAUAAAAUAAUGCAAGAGACAUCAGAAAGAAAACUCUGAAAGGUGUAAGGAAGAAAACAAACCAGCUAAGUACUCCCACAACUGGAGUGGGGCCAUAGUUACAGGAUGUCUUAUCACCUCCCACCCAACAGAAGAAGGUAACCCAGGCUUCGUGUUUUCUGACCACCAAGCUAGCAACAUAAGGGAGCCCAGGAUGGAACAGGGGUCCUGCUGACAACCAGGUGAGUCUGAUACAACCCUCAAGGGCAUUUUGUAGGGAUCCCCACUGGCAAGUGUCCAGGGGAAGCAUUACUCCCCUGGCAGGUCCAGGCUCCUCUCACUUGUUGAGAGACACUGAGCAACCAUGGAGCCCUGACAAGGGGCAUCCUGCCACAGGAGUGUCUGACCUAGAAGUUUUCAUCACCAUGGGCAGGGGGCUGUCUUCCCCCAACCUAGAGGUACCAGGUGACUCGUCUUGGGGAAAACUUCUUUCCCCUAAAGUAACACCAUCAAGGACCACUUUGAGCUCCAGCAGCACCGGAUAGACCAAGUUAACACUGCAAAGGCUCUGAAAUUUAAACUGCCACUGGAAUCAUAGACCAAAAGGUAGGCCAGGGCCUGCAUGCUAAACAUAAACAUAGUGACUGCCUGCUAAAAUAAAAGAUUAAAAUAGAACCCAGAGUCUUCUAACAUAAUAGAUGAAAUAUCCAGGAUAUAAUCUAAAAUCACCUGUCAUACCAAGAACCAAGCAAAUCACAACAAAUAAGAAAAGACAGCCAACUGAUGGCACCUCCAGGAUGAACCAGGUGUUGGAUUUAUCUGACAAAGAUUUUAAAGCAUCCAUCAUAAAAAUGCCUUAACAAGUAGUUACAAAUUCUUUUGAAGCAAAAAAUAGAAAGGCUCCCCAAGGAAAUAGUUAACAAAGAUUUUUUUUUUUUUAACGUUGAUAAAAAAACCACUAUGAUGUGCAUUUUUGUCCCAGUUUUUUUUAAAAAAGAAAUAAAGGCAAUUAUAUAACUGAAAAAUACAAUAGCCAAAAUGGAAAACUCAUUGGAUGGGUUCUAUAAUAGAAUGAAAAUGACAAGUGAUAGAAUCAGUGAACUUGAAAAUAAGCAAUAGAAUUAAUAAAUCUGAAUAACAAAGAGAAGAUGGGAAAAAUGAGACUCAGUGACCUCUGAGACAGUAAUAAAGAGCCAACAUUCAUAUAUUUGGAGUCCAAGAAGUAGAGGAGAAAAAAGAAUAGAGCUGGAUGAAUGUGCAAAGAAAUAAUGGAUGAAAACAUCUCAAAUUUAGCAAAGAAUAAAUACGCAGGUUCAGGAAGCUGAGUGUACCCCAAACAGGAUAAGCUGAAAGAAAUCCAUGCGAAGACACUUCAUAAUUAAACAUGUGAAAACUAAAAACAAAGAAAAAAAUUAAAGCAGCCAGAGAGAAGGGACAUAUUACUACAGCAGAACACAGCUUGAAUAACAGCAUGUUUCUCAUCAGAAACCACGGGGGCUAGAAAGAGGUGGCACAGCAGUGCUGAAAGAAAGAAACUGUUAACUUUCUGUGAAAGUUCUGUGUCCAGACUGUCCCACAGGAAUGAAGGGGAGAUAAUGAUGUUCUCAAAUGAAGCAAAACUAAAAGUGUUUGUUGCUAGGAAACCUACCCAUAACCAAUGGCUAUUGGACGUUCUUC